CGCCUGUCGUCUGACCGUUGGCCGCCGAAGUGGGGCGGAGUGGUCAAGAGCAGCCUGGCGGCGGCGGCGGCGGCUCGAGUCUUGGGCGCUUGACUCCUCAUCGACUGCUCUCUCCCUGCAACGCGCGAGUUAUUGGAUCUCCGCGUGCGUCAGGUGAUGCUCAGUGAGAAGCCUGACAAAUUCCCAACAUUUCGUUGCGAACCUUGGACCUUGAUACUCCCUUGUUUUAUUGGUGAAUAUGAACUGAACGACAAAUUGAAGGCCUUAGGCAGCUUUCUUCAGAAUCCUCCUUGUUUGGAGAAGCUUACUUUGGAGUGGUGCAUGCUUACAUCAUUUUCUGAUUUGGAGUGGGAGGUCAAAAGGAAGAACAACAUCAAAAGUUGAUGGAAGUCAUCGACGAUCAUGACCAUGAUCGCCGACUAAUUGAACUUGUGUGGAGCCUCGAGAGGAGGCUACCAGAUGUCAAACAUUGAACUUGCCAAGAAGGACAACUAAUCUGCGCAGUCCUUUUCUCUUUGCAGCCACUCCUGAGGCCCUUUAGAGGCAUGACUAGGGCAUGUGCCUUCCUUCUGCGUUAAACUCUAUGGUUUCACGGGAUACGGAUUCUGCUUAUGCUUAUAUGACAUGUUUAUGUUUAUAUGACAUGGAUCAAAACAUUUCGUUCCUGGCACAGAUGCCAUGUGAUGCAUUUGCAAUCUUAUAUCUCUGAUAAAGUUUCUGAAUUAGAUGGGUCUCUGGUAGUCUGGUAGCACCAUGGGCGAAUAGCUAGGGGGCCCUACUCAUUUUCUUUUCUCAGAACAAAAGAUUAGGUUCAUCAUUCUGCGUGAUAAAAAAGCAGAUGGAUUGUUCUGUUAGAAAGUUUGAACAGGAAUAAUUCGGUCAAAUGUGUAGAUCUUCCCAUGAUCAAUUUGAUAUGCAGAGCUAGAAAACAGAAAUGAUAGUAACUUCGCACAAAAAAUGGAUGAGCUAUCCUCAAAGUUGAUGAUCUGGUAGCUAGCCGUUCUAAGAAAAGGCAGCAGCCCACCCAGGCCUUCUUGAGCCCAGAAUACUGAGGCUCACCAGAACGGCCUCGAGCACUGAACCCUCUGGCUCGCUUGGACAGUCUCCAGCGGCAGCCGGCGGCCGGCGACAGAGGGAACGGCGGAGCGAGCAGCGCCCGUCCAGGUCGCGAGCUGCCAGUGGGGGCGGCCGGGCGAGGCGGCUUCCAGGAGCGGCGUGGCGGCGCAUGGGCAUCUAUGGAGUGAAUAACUUCUGUCACAUCAAUUUGCCAUCCAGCAAAUCUUGGCCUUCAGGAUCCAGGCAACCAGAUCUCUGACUUCCCGGCGAAAGCAGUCAAGCGUCUGCGGAGGAACUGGAGAUGGCGCAACCUGAGCCGAUGGCGAAGCGCAGCAUGGCAUGUAGCCAGGGUGUAGUUGGUGCUGUGGACCGGCUUAGCGCACUGCCGGAUGGGCUCAUCCACACCGUGUUCUCAUUCCUCCCAGCCCCGGAAGUCGUGCGGACAUGUCUGCUGUCACGGCGGUGGAGAAGCCUUUGGCGCUCUGCGCCCUGCAUCAACCUCGAUAUGCAUGACUUUGGGAUCCCCGUGGUGACCAUCCGUGAUGGUACCCUGGAGGAGAAGUGGGGGCCAGGUUUGAGGAUUUCGCCACCAAACUGCUGCUGUUCCAUGAUAAUACCUCGUCCUUGGGUGAAUUCCGGCUUUCAUCUCGCAUCUAUAACCAGCGUCAUGUGGACCAGUGGAUUCGCCGUGGCAUUGAGUACUGCCCUUCUGUGCUCAAAAUUCUGAUACUGAACUUUCCUCGCUUCAAGUUCCCACCAAUAGUGGGCUCAAAUUUUUGUCAUCUUAAGACGCUGCACCUUCGCAAAGUGGAUUUGGGUAGCCAUUUCGCGGGCCUGCUCUGUUCUAACUGCCCUGUCGUGGAAGAUUUGGAGCUUACCAGCUGUGACUUUUCUGGCAAUUCUUCUCAAGGCAUUACAUCAUCCUCACUAAAAAAUUUGGCAUUAGUCUAUUGUUUGAACAGCACAGAUUAUUCGUUGGUGAUCACAGUUCCUAGCCUUGCAAACCUGCGUCUCAUUUAUGGAUGCUACAAAUCUGGUAUUUCUUUAUGCAAGAUGGAUUCCCUUGUCAAGGCAGAGAUUGAUGUUGCAGAAUACGAAACAACGUUGCCUCAGCAUUCCCAGCGUGAGCUUCUUUGUAACCUCUACAAUGUGACUAGCUUAAAAUUGGUGGGUUUUGAAGUGGAGGGGAUGCUGAACGAAGAAUCUGAUAAAUUCCCAAUAUUUCAUAAUAUGCGAACCUUGGACCUUCAUAGCUGUUUUCUUGAUGAUUAUGAACUGUACGAAAAAUUACUGGCUUUAGGGAGCUUUCUUUGUAGUGUGCCUUGUUUGGAGAAGCUUAUUUUGAAGUGUUGCAUGUUCUAUCCUGUCUUCUGAUUCAGACUGGGAGAUAGAAAGGAAAAAUAUCACUCUGCGCCGCCAGGAUGGAAAGACUUUCCAGUGUCCAAAGCUGAAGUUGAUAGAAGUCAUCUACAAGCACGAUAUUAAUCACCAACUAAUUGAACUUUUGUGGAGCCUCGGGAGGAGCCUACCAGACGCCAGCAUCAAACUUAAGAAAAUCUGAGUUGUUGAUCACCAACUAAUUGAACUUUUGUGGAGCCUCGGGAGGAGCCUACCAGAUGCCAGCAUCAAACUAUAGAAAAUCUGAGUUGUUGAUCACCGACUAAUUGAACUUUUGUGGAGCCUCACGAGGUGCCUACCAGACGCCAGCGUCAAACUUAAGAAAAUCGAGUUGUUGAUCACAAGCUACUUGAACUUUUGUGGAGCCUCGGGAGGAGCCUACCAGACGCCAGCACCAAACUUAAAAUCGAGUUGUUUCAUGCCUAGCACAUUUCUUUGUGCAAUCUUCUGUGAGGCAUUUGUCUUUGCACAUUUCUUAGCAUAUCGAGCGGAUGUGCAUGUGCGCUGCGAGGGCAUGAAUUGGCCACUGGUGUUCCAUUAUGUAUUGAACUUGCGUGAUGUAGGGUAUGUUUAUUCAGACAUGAGUACUGAGUUUUAAAAUUACAUUUAUGGUUCCUGGUUGGGUUCAAUUUU
Panicum virgatum (switchgrass) is the source of this 3087-nucleotide long non-coding RNA. RefSeq lists it as uncharacterized. Lineage: Eukaryota; Viridiplantae; Streptophyta; Magnoliopsida; Poales; Poaceae. The record is from RefSeq and is a predicted model, not a curated record. The transcript has 6 exons.